AGAGUUUGAUCCUGGCUCAGAUUGAACGCUGGCGGCAUGCCUUACACAUGCAAGUCGAACGGUAACAGGUCUUCGGAUGCUGACGAGUGGCGAACGGGUGAGUAAUACAUCGGAACGUGCCCGAUCGUGGGGGAUAACGGAGCGAAAGCUUUGCUAAUACCGCAUACGAUCUACGGAUGAAAGCAGGGGACCGCAAGGCCUUGCGCGGACGGAGCGGCCGAUGGCAGAUUAGGUAGUUGGUGGGAUAAAAGCUUACCAAGCCGACGAUCUGUAGCUGGUCUGAGAGGACGACCAGCCACACUGGGACUGAGACACGGCCCAGACUCCUACGGGAGGCAGCAGUGGGGAAUUUUGGACAAUGGGCGGAAGCCUGAUCCAGCCAUGCCGCGUGCAGGAUGAAGGCCUUCGGG
This 410-nucleotide ribosomal RNA is filed under the name uncultured bacterium. Its description in RNAcentral is "bacterial SSU rRNA". It matches the Rfam family "Bacterial small subunit ribosomal RNA", at positions 8 to 422 of the family's 1533-position model. The record is from RNAcentral.